GAGUUUGAUCGUGGCUCAGAUUGAACGCUGGCGGCAUGCCUUACACAUGCAAGUCGAACGGCAGCACGGGAGCUUGCUCCUGGUGGCGAGUGGCGAACGGGUGAGUAAUGCAUCGGAACGUAUCCUGGAGUGGGGGAUAACGUAGCGAAAGUUACGCUAAUACCGCAUAUUCUGUGAGCAGGAAAGCGGGGGACCUUCGGGCCUCGCGCUCUUGGAGCGGCCGAUGUCGGAUUAGCUAGUUGGUGAGGUAAAGGCUCACCAAGGCGACGAUCCGUAGCAGGUCUGAGAGGAUGAUCUGCCACACUGGAACUGAGACACGGUCCAGACUCCUACGGGAGGC
Molecule: ribosomal RNA, 340 nt
Filed under: bacterium enrichment culture clone ALO1_GLFRUDD03GX5X2
Lineage: Bacteria
Description: bacterial SSU rRNA
Rfam family: Bacterial small subunit ribosomal RNA
Source: RNAcentral